RNAcentral lists this non-coding RNA (30 nucleotides) under Cricetulus griseus (Chinese hamster). Lineage: Eukaryota; Metazoa; Chordata; Mammalia; Rodentia; Cricetidae. The record is from RNAcentral.
GUGGAUUGAGAAGACAUUCCGACCAGCGGU